RNAcentral lists this ribosomal RNA (468 nucleotides) under uncultured bacterium. RNAcentral's name for it is "partial 16S ribosomal RNA". It matches the Rfam family "Bacterial small subunit ribosomal RNA", at positions 28 to 507 of the family's 1533-position model. The record is from RNAcentral.
GACGAACGCUGGCGGCGUGCUUAACACAUGCAAGUCGAACGGAAAGGCCCUGCUUUUGUGGGGUGCUCGAGUGGCGAACGGGUGAGUAACACGUGAGUAACCUGCCCUUGACUUUGGGAUAACUUCAGGAAACUGGGGCUAAUACCGGAUAGGAGCUCCUGCUGCAUGGUGGGGGUUGGAAAGUUUCGGCGGUUGGGGAUGGACUCGCGGCUUAUCAGCUUGUUGGUGGGGUAGUGGCUUACCAAGGCUUUGACGGGUAGCCGGCCUGAGAGGGUGACCGGCCACAUUGGGACUGAGAUACGGCCCAGACUCCUACGGGAGGCAGCAGUGGGGAAUAUUGCACAAUGGGCGGAAGCCGGAUGCAGCAACGCCGCGUGCGGGAUGACGGCUUUCGGGUUGUAAACCGCUUUCGCCUGUGACGAAGCGUGAGUGACGGUAAUGGGUAAAGAAGCACCGGCUAACUACGUG